AGCUACUUGUCAGUGUUUCCAUGGAGUUGGCUCUCCAGAUGAGCGUGCUGUAGGGUUAUGCCUCAGCCUAGAACAUGAAAGAACAAAACCUCACAAACACUGCAGAUGAGGUCAUUGCCGUUUUCGGACAAAACAGACAGGAAGGACAGGCUGCGGGUUCCAUCUUCAUCUAAGAGAAGAGAGAGGAGAAAGAGAGCCUCUGUCUUCAGUGAUGUGGCAAAGUCCUAUGCGAGAAGCCAGCACCCUUCAUCAGGGAGCUACACACACCCUUGACCCAGGAGUCUGAGACACUAAAGGAGGCUCCAGCGAGAGAGAGCUGUAAGAGUUGUGGGGCCAGCCACAGCCUGGUGCCAGCCAGGUGAGCCCACAGUUCCAGAUAACUGAGUCUCAGUAUAAGAGGGACAACCCCAUGACAAUGGUGACAAGGACAGCUGUUGGCUGAGAGCCUCCCAUGUGAAAGCUUCAUAUCCAAUCAUCAGGUGGCAUGAAAACAAUGAAAGGGAUGCCCGUGCUCUGAGAAUCCACUUCUGCUAAGGUUCACCUGAGCCAACCCCACAGCACCGCGUGCUCAGACCUCAUUCCUUCUUUUCUUGCUCUGGGUCUGCUUCCGGGACUAAC
Long non-coding RNA from Neofelis nebulosa (Clouded leopard), 618 nucleotides. RefSeq lists it as uncharacterized. Lineage: Eukaryota; Metazoa; Chordata; Mammalia; Carnivora; Felidae. The record is from RefSeq and is a predicted model, not a curated record. The transcript has 3 exons.